AUGACCUUCAUUUUCUCCCCUCCUUCUCUCUGUAAAACCUAGCAGCCGCCACCACCAGAAACAUGGUUUUAUGUUGUCCUUCAUUAAUAGCUAAAGGGGGGAAAUCCCCCAAAAUUUUAAAGUACCCCGCUCACACUCUCCUUAGAUCUCCAACCGAUGGAUCGACCUUCUUUCUCACCCCCCCUCUCUGUAACACCCUCGCUUCAUAAAUAAAUCUCUCUCAUCCUUCUAUGGUAUGUAUGUAUGUUGUGAUAAUGCAUGUAUGUGUAUAUGUAUGUGUGUGUGUGUGAGAGUGUUUGGGUGAGUUGGAAGUAUGUAUGUGUGAAACCAUAGAGUUUGAGUUCAUCGCAUUUGUUCUUAUAUCCUUCAACUAUGCAAAUCAGAAAUAGCACCCCAAAAUCAAAAGUCAGCAACAAUUGAUGAAGGUUACUGGAAUCAAGAGAAAUCAUCUCCUACUCUGAAUCGGAGACAAACCACAUAUUUGGAAGAGGCCCUGAAGAUUAUGGUGAAACAUUCCAUCUAUUUCCAUGGAAAUGUCAGACUUUAAGCCAAUAAGCCAUGAUUGGUUUGAAAAAUACUCUAACAGCUGCUCAUGCCUGCUCAUGUAAGUGUGUACUUCAUAACACUCACCAUUCUUUUUAAAAAUGGUUUUGGUUAUUUUAUUUAUUUUCUUUUGCUUAUGAAUCAGGGGUGAAGUAUAUAAGGGCCAGGAGGGGUUGUCCCCCCCCCCCUUAUUUUUUUUAUUAGAAGUGUAAAUUGUCUGUAUCUUUUUUAUCCAUAUUAGGCGUAGACUUUAAAAAUUGGGUUGUGGCCCCUCCUGUGCUUUCCAAUAGUUCGAAUCAAAUAAAAAAACCAAUCAUCAUUAUCCUUUAUCCCUACCCUCGUGACUCGUCUGAAGUCUGAAACAAAAAUUCCUUAAUCGUUGCUACGUGCAUGCUGUCAUGCUAUUCGGCUGUUGCUGAUGAGACAAUCAGUCAAUUAGCACUCCUACCUUAUUCUCCAACUCCAAGUAUGAAGUCUGAAUUCUAAAGUCUUGCCUGAAGCCUGGAAUUAAUUGAUCAAUGUGAAUACUGAAUUGUGAAGUGAAGCCUGGAAAAAAUGACAAUCUUAAUUACUUAAUCAGGUUUGUUUUUUUAUUUUAUAAUUUUUUUUCACAAUGCAGGAUUUGAACUUACAAAGAUCAACUUAACGACACAAAAAAUAACUAAGAUAGUCUAUAUAUUAUUGAACUUACAAAGAUCCUUCUGUCUAGAUGUUUCUGCAUUACUGUCCCACAGUUUCUUUUUUGUCAAGAAAAACUUAAAUCUUACACAAGAAAAGCUUAAAUCUUAUUUGUGUACAUUAUGGCCAUCCAGUGCUUACAUUCACAUUUUCAGGAUGGAGCAUCCUACACAAAACAAAAUCUUGGUAAGUUCACUUAUUCAGUAAGGGACAAUGCAGCUGGUACAGUUGCAAAGAUUAUUAUGGCCCACCAGAAUGUUGUCCCACUAUAUCA
Lactuca sativa (garden lettuce) is the source of this 1495-nucleotide long non-coding RNA. RefSeq lists it as uncharacterized. NCBI's taxonomy places the organism in Eukaryota, Viridiplantae, Streptophyta, Magnoliopsida, Asterales, Asteraceae. The record is from RefSeq and is a predicted model, not a curated record.